This 433-nucleotide ribosomal RNA is filed under the name uncultured bacterium. RNAcentral's name for it is "bacterial SSU rRNA". It matches the Rfam family "Bacterial small subunit ribosomal RNA", at positions 355 to 786 of the family's 1533-position model. The record is from RNAcentral.
UGAGGAAUAUUGGUCAAUGGGCGCGAGCCUGAACCAGCCAAGUCGCGUGAGGGAUGACGGCCCUACGGGUUGUAAACCUCUUUGUCGGGGAGCAAAUUCCGCCACGUGUGGCGGAGUCGAGAGUACCCGAAGAAAAAGCAUCGGCUAACUCCGUGCCAGCAGCCGCGGUAAUACGGAGGAUGCGAGCGUUAUCCGGAUUUAUUGGGUUUAAAGGGUGCGUAGGCGGACUGUCAAGUCAGCGGUAAAAUGCGGGGGCUCAACCUCCGCCCGCCGUUGAAACUGACGGUCUUGAGUGGGCGAGAAGUAUGCGGAAUGCGUGGUGUAGCGGUGAAAUGCAUAGAUAUCACGCAGAACUCCGAUUGCGAAGGCAGCAUACCGGCGCCCAACUGACGCUGAAGCACGAAAGCGUGGGUAUCGAACAGGAUUAGAUACC